AUUGAACGCUGGCGGCAGGCCUAACACAUGCAAGUCGAACGAGUGGCGGACGGGUGAGUAAUGUCUGGGAAACUGCCUGAUGGAGGGGGAUAACUACUGGAAACGGUAGCUAAUACCGCCUACCAUCAGCUGUGCCCAGAUGGGAUUAGCUUGUUGGUGGGGGAACGGCUCACCAAGGCGACGAUCCCUCGCUGGUCUGAGAGGAUGACCGGCCAAACGGGAACGGAGACACGGUCCAGACUCCUACGGUGGGCAGCGGUGGGGAAUAUUGCACAUGGGGCGAAAGCCUGAUGCAGACAUGCGGCGGGUAUGAAGAAGGCCUUCGGGUUGUAAAGUACUUUCAGCGGGGAGGCGUUACCCGCAGAAGAAGCACCGGCUAACUCCGUGCCAGCAGCCGCGGUAAUUC
Molecule: ribosomal RNA, 406 nt
Filed under: uncultured bacterium
Lineage: Bacteria
Description: partial 16S ribosomal RNA
Rfam family: Bacterial small subunit ribosomal RNA
Source: RNAcentral